CCUACGGGAGGCAGCAGUAGGGAAUCUUCCGCAAUGGACGAAAGUCUGACGGAGCAACGCCGCGUGAACGAUGAAGGCCUUCGGGUCGUAAAGUUCUGUUGUUAGGGAAGAACAAGUGCUAGUUGAAUAAGCUGGCACCUUGACGGUACCUAACCAGAAAGCCACGGCUAACUACGUGCCAGCAGCCGCGGUAAUACGUAGGGACCGAGCGUUGUCCGGAAUCAUUGGGCGUAAAGAGCGUGUAGGCGGCCUAGUAGGUCUCGUGUGAAAUCCCGUGGCUCAACCACGGACACGCACGGGAAACCCCUAGGCUCGAGUCCGGAAGAGGAGAGCGGAAUUCCUGGUGUAGCGGUGAAAUGCGCAGAUAUCAGGAAGAACACCCGUAGCGAAGGCGGCUCUCUGGGACGGUACUGACGCUGAGACGCGAAAGCGUGGGGAGCAAACAGGAUUAGAUACCCUGGUAGUCCACGCCGUAAACGAUGGAUGCUAGGUGUGGGGAGGUGUCGACUCCUCCGUCGCGACGACUACGACAUAAGACAUCCGCCGUCGGGGAGGUACGGGCCGGCCGAACGGACGUAAAACCGUUAAAACGGUAAAGUUAGUACGGCGUGAGACGUGCCGAACGGACGACGACGAGGGAGGUAGG
Molecule: ribosomal RNA, 646 nt
Filed under: uncultured bacterium
Lineage: Bacteria
Description: bacterial SSU rRNA
Rfam family: Bacterial small subunit ribosomal RNA (bases 1-545)
Source: RNAcentral